RNAcentral lists this transfer RNA (72 nucleotides) under Chelonia mydas (Green sea turtle). It matches the Rfam family "tRNA". From Rfam's summary of the family: Transfer RNA (tRNA) molecules are approximately 80 nucleotides in length. Their secondary structure includes four short double-helical elements and three loops (D, anti-codon, and T loops). Further hydrogen bonds mediate the characteristic L-shaped molecular structure. tRNAs have two regions of fundamental functional importance: the anti-codon, which is responsible for specific mRNA codon recognition, and the 3' end, to which the tRNAs corresponding amino acid is attached (by aminoacyl-tRNA synthetases). tRNAs cope with the degeneracy of the genetic code in two manners: having more than one tRNA (with a specific anti-codon) for a particular amino acid; and 'wobble' base-pairing, i.e. permitting non-standard base-pairing at the 3rd anti-codon position. Lineage: Eukaryota; Metazoa; Chordata; Testudines; Cheloniidae. The record is from Rfam by way of RNAcentral.
GGAAGGAUGGUCCAGUGGCUAGGGCAUUAGCCUAGGACCUAGAAGAUCUAGGUUCAAUUCCUGGUUCCUCCA